Molecule: long non-coding RNA, 519 nt
Organism: Panicum virgatum (switchgrass)
Lineage: Eukaryota; Viridiplantae; Streptophyta; Magnoliopsida; Poales; Poaceae
Exons: 2
Source: RefSeq, a predicted model, not a curated record
GCUCCUCACUCCGACCCCGUCGAUCCCGCUCGCCCGAGCUCGCCGGAGCGCCGCCAGCACCGCCACCGAGCCGCUGCUCACGCCGCGUCCCCACCUUCGGCUGUUCCCGACCCCGACCGAGCACACCCCCAGGUAGCCCUCGCUUCCCCCAUGCUCCUCCACCCCUCCAUCGUUGCCGGCGGGCCACCACCUCACCGGAUUUUGGCCCGGACCGCCGCUGACCUCCAUAGGGACCUCGUGCAGCAAUAGAAAGAAGUGCAGGGGCCUUUUUGCAAAGUCCAUGACUCAGUGACUGAACCGUCGGAGAAUGAACCCGUUGAGCCUGCCGAGUUCAUCGAGCCUGAACCCGGAGUCCCGAUCGUGGUCGAGCUGGAAGUUAACCAAGGCAAGCAGCUAAGCAUGAAUCCUUGCUCCUAUUUAACCUGAUUUAAUUAGUUAUCUCACCGGGUAAUGUUGGGUUAUAUAUAGUAUGUAUGUAUUGUAUUCUUGUACCUAUCUGCGUGCAUUAUCCUUUCUUGA